This 232-nucleotide ribosomal RNA is filed under the name uncultured bacterium. RNAcentral's name for it is "partial 16S ribosomal RNA". It matches the Rfam family "Bacterial small subunit ribosomal RNA", at positions 103 to 334 of the family's 1533-position model. The record is from RNAcentral.
CGGGUGAGUAACACGUAGGUAAUGUGCCUUUGGGUGGGGAAUAACUUAGGGAAACUUAAGCUAAUACCGCAUAAUGCAGCGGCUCCUAAUGGAGACAGUUGUUAAAGAUUUAUCGCCUAAAGAGCAGCCUGCGGCAGAUUAGCUAGUUGGUAAGGUAAUGGCUUACCAAGGCUACGAUCUGUAUCCGACCUGAGAGGGUGGUCGGACACACUGACACUGAAUAACGGGUCAG